GAUGAACGCUGGCGGCGUGCCUAAUACAUGCAAGUCGAGCGAACAGACGAAGAGCUUGCUCCUCUGACGCUAGCGGCGGACGGGUGAGUAACACGUGGAUAACCUACCUAUAAGACUGGGAUAACUUCGGGAAACCGGAGCUAAUACCGGAUAAUAUAUUGAACCGCAUGGUUCAAUAGUGAAAGACGGUUUUGCUGUCACUUAUAGAUGGAUCCGCGCCGCAUUAGCUAGUUGGUAAGGUAACGGCUUACCAAGGCAACGAUGCGUAGCCGACCUGAGAGGGUGAUCGGCCACACUGGAACUGAGACACGGUCCAGACUCCUACGGGAGGCAGCAGUAGGGAAUCUUCCGCAAUGGGCGAAAGCCUGACGGAGCAACGCCGCGUGAGUGAUGAAGGUCUUCGGAUCGUAAAACUCUGUUAUUAGGGAAGAACAAAUGUGUAAGUAACUAUGCACGUCUUGACGGUACCUAAUCAGAAAGCCACGGCUAACUACGUG
This 497-nucleotide ribosomal RNA is filed under the name uncultured bacterium. Its description in RNAcentral is "partial 16S ribosomal RNA". It matches the Rfam family "Bacterial small subunit ribosomal RNA", at positions 28 to 507 of the family's 1533-position model. The record is from RNAcentral.